CCCUUAGAUGUUCUGGGCCGCACGCGCGCUACACUGACGAAGUCAGCGAGCAUGUCCUACGCCGACAGGUGCGGGGAAUCUUGUCAAACUUCGUCGUGAUGGGGAUUGAUUAUUGAAAUUCUUGAUCAUCAACGAGGAAUUCCUAGUAAGCGCAAGUCAGCAGCUUGCGUUGAUUACGUCCCUGCCCUUUGUACACACCGCCCGUCGCUACUACCGAUUGAAUGAUUUAGUGAGAUCUUCGGAUUGGCGCCACUGCGGCUCAGCAAUGGGCUCGGUGGAUGCCGAAAAGUUGAUCAAACUUGAUCAUUUAGAGGAAGUAAAAGUCGUAACA
RNAcentral lists this ribosomal RNA (331 nucleotides) under uncultured eukaryote. RNAcentral describes it as "partial 18S ribosomal RNA". It matches the Rfam family "Eukaryotic small subunit ribosomal RNA", at positions 1470 to 1796 of the family's 1831-position model. The record is from RNAcentral.